GGCUCGAUGAUUAUAGCCCUUUUUGGGUAAUAUACGCUAUUCUGAUAUUUAUUUUCAAUAGGCUGAAACUCUUCCAUGAAUGAUAGCU
Small nucleolar RNA from Macadamia integrifolia, 88 nucleotides. RefSeq annotates it as small nucleolar RNA U54. The record is from RefSeq and is a predicted model, not a curated record. Lineage: Eukaryota; Viridiplantae; Streptophyta; Magnoliopsida; Proteales; Proteaceae. The transcript has a single exon.